This 451-nucleotide ribosomal RNA is filed under the name uncultured bacterium. RNAcentral's name for it is "bacterial SSU rRNA". It matches the Rfam family "Bacterial small subunit ribosomal RNA", at positions 1052 to 1504 of the family's 1533-position model. The record is from RNAcentral.
UCGUCAGCUCGUGUCGUGAGAUGUUGGGUUAAGUCCCGCAACGAGCGCAACCCCUAUUGUUAGUUGGUACCAUUAAGUUCAGCACUCUAGGGAGACUGCCUGGGUUAACCAGGAGGAAGGUGGGGAUGACGUCAAAUCAUCAUGCCCCUUAUGUGUAGGGCUACACACGUGCUACAAUGGCAAGUACAGAGAGACGCAAAACCGUGAGGUCGAGCAAAUCCCUUAAAACUUGUCCCAGUUCGGAUUGUAGGCUGAAACUCGCCUACAUGAAGCCGGAGUUGCUAGUAAUCGCGAAUCAGAAUGUCGCGGUGAAUACGUUCCCGGGUCUUGUACACACCGCCCGUCACACCAUGAGAGUUGGCAAUACCCAACGUCCGUGAGCUAACCGCAAGGAGGCAGCGGCCUAAGGUAGGGUCAGCGAUUGGGGUGAAGUCGUAACAAGGUAGCCGUA